GAUGAACGCUAGCGGGAGGCCUAACACAUGCAAGCCGAGCGGUAUUGUUUCUUCGGAAAUGAGAGAGCGGCGUACGGGUGCGUAACACGUGUGCAACCUGCCUUUAUCUGGGGGAUAGCCUUUCGAAAGGAAGAUUAAUACUCCAUAAUAUAUUGAACGGCAUCGUUUAAUAUUUAAAGCUCCGGCGGAUAGAGAUGGGCACGCGCAAGAUUAGCUAGUUGGUGAGGUAACGGCUCACCAAGGCGAUGAUCUUUAGGGGGCCUGAGAGGGUGAUCCCCCACACUGGUACUGAGACACGGACCAGACUCCUACGGGAGGCAGCAGUGAGGAAUAUUGGUCAAUGGGUGCAAGCCUGAACCAGCCAUCCCGCGUGAAGGACGACUGCCCUAUGGGUUGUAAACUCCUUUUGUAUAGGGAUAAACCUACCCUCGAGAGGGUAGCUGAAGGUACUAUACGAAUAAGCACCGGCUAACUCCGUG
Molecule: ribosomal RNA, 479 nt
Filed under: uncultured bacterium
Lineage: Bacteria
Description: partial 16S ribosomal RNA
Rfam family: Bacterial small subunit ribosomal RNA
Source: RNAcentral